RNAcentral lists this long non-coding RNA (1260 nucleotides) under Homo sapiens (human). RNAcentral describes it as "SOX5 antisense RNA 1". The record is from RNAcentral. Lineage: Eukaryota; Metazoa; Chordata; Mammalia; Primates; Hominidae.
AUUCUGAACAGCAAUGCUCAUCACAUAAACAUGAAGUUUCCUCCAAAAGGAAUGAUGACUAAUGCUUUGAGGAAACAGCAGACGUCAGACAGCAAGCCCAGAAAAACCUGCCAGCACCAAGAGGGUGUCCUCAACAGGCGCCUGGGGGACAUAUUAUUCUAACUAAAGAGACCAGAGCUUCCCCAGGAAGGGAAGAGGAGAGAAAUGAAGAACGUCUGUGUUCAUGUUUGCCAAAAACAAAAGUCUGAGAAAUCUCUGAGAGACUCUACAUGGGAGGGCACUAAUCGAAGCACCUCAUUUAAAGUGAGAAAAGCUUUGCUAAGGGCAGAUGAUUCAGCACGGUAUCCUUCGAUGAGUACUGUCAUCUCAAAUCCUUUUUAAGAACAUCAAGCACAAAUGAUGAUCUCCUAGGACAGUGGCAGCUUCUGAGAAUGCACAGGAAAGUGACCAGGGAAAGAAUGAUUCCAUCUCCAGGAAUCCCUGGUGAUCUUCAGAGCCCAGACAGGACCCUGCUGGGCCAUGGUAACUGAGAAACUGAGAAGCAGAUACAGUGGUCCCUAUGUUGGCAACCUCAGCUGAAGAGGAACAACUCUCUCUAUAAUCAAGGACUUCUGAAACCAGAAAUCACCAGCGUGGGGAGAGAACAUUAAAGGCAGAGGUGUCUCUUAUAAGCACAACGUGUGACCAGGUAAUACUGUCUGGAUUAGCAGCUGUACAGCCUAACUAAGCCCUGGAGCUACAAUUAUCUGGUCGCAUUAAACUGAAAUCACCUGAAAAACUUCACACUGAACAAGCCUUUGGAAAUGUCUAAUCUGCCAGUUUACACCCAGAAGUGAAAGUGGAAUUCACUUGUUAAAGACAAGAAAACAAAAGUUUUCUGCCAGGAAGAGUCUCAUCUUAGAACCAGUAUAGGGUCUGAAGACAUUUCUGCAAUUUAUGUUUAUGCCAUUCUUUCACUUUUAUUUAAAAAGGAGAUUUAACCUGACCAUUCUCUUUGAAGCCGAUGUCCCAAGUAUAUAUGUUUGAUGAGGGUACAGAAGACAUAAGGAAUAAAACUGCAUUGCCACAGAGGGAAUACACGGCUCCAGAUACAAGGCUUUAUGCUAAUUUUAGCAAAAUGUAUGUAUCUUUUUACAUACAUAAAGUUAUGGCACUAUAUAAAGAGAUCCUUAAAUGUGACAUACACUGAAGUCCUAUUUACUGCCUGAGUAUUCCUUUUAAAAAAUAAAAACUACAAGUAGUGGUUGUAUUAAUAUUAAA